This 3051-nucleotide long non-coding RNA is filed under the name Solanum tuberosum (potato). Its description in RNAcentral is "long non-coding RNA (STUB_LNC007951)". Lineage: Eukaryota; Viridiplantae; Streptophyta; Magnoliopsida; Solanales; Solanaceae. The record is from RNAcentral.
AUAAGUUAUGUGUUUUUCACUUAGACAAAUAAAAUAAAUCCUUGGUUUCAUCUUCUGAUCGACUAUUCUACCAUGCAGAUCAGUCUCUGUUUGAAUUUUCAUCUACGCUUAUGGGUUUUCCAAUGUCGGGUAAGUUCUUAAUCGAUUUCGUUGCUCUUCUCCACCAAUUGUUAUAUAAUCUUCAUCAAAUUUCUUUUAAUUUUUGUUUAAUAUUCAUCAAAAAUCUAUAUUUCAUGGCUGAAUCUUAAUAACUAAGGUAAUAAAGUGGUAGAUUUUUCUAUGAAAAAAAAAAGAAAAAAUCGGUAACAUCAAUGUUUAAUCAGUAUAAAUAUUAAUCUUAUUCUAGGUUGAAAUGUCUGUAUUUGAAAAGUUUUGGAUUAUUUUGCAUGUUACAACUUUACGUUUGCUCAUGUUCUUUUUUCCCCUCCUUUUUGGUUUUCUUUACAUUUUCAAAUUGCUUUUCUUUUUGGAUUGUAAAGAUAAUUUUCGAAAUACUCAAAUUUACUUUUGGUGUUUAAGCAUAGAAAUCUUUUAAUUGAGGAGUUGUAACAAUGCGAAAUCAUCUCAUGUAGGCUGAUUUUCUGCACUUUUAAUCUAUUAGUGUAUUCUAUAAAUUUGAGACCAAAAAUAAGAGUUGCAGAACCGAUAUAAUAUUAUAAAAGAUGUGUAUAUGCUUUUACCGCUGAAUUAACUUUGAUGUUCUUCCCAAGAGUCUCUUAUAAACAAGAUGAGAGACAAAGAAACUCUUCAAUGCUCUAUGAAAUUAUUGAAAUUGCACGUAUAUAUUUUCUUCCUUAACUCAACUUAACAUAUUAACACAGAUUAUCUUAGUUAUAGGUAAAUACACAUUUUUCUAUUUUUACUCUUCAGUUGAUCUUGAUGUGUAAUCUAUACACUAUUCAAUUGUGAAACCUCGGAAUUUGAUGAUGAUUAUUGCUUUAUUCAAGCACCAUGAUUGAGAUAUAAGUUUUUUCGUAACUGUUGCAGUGACUACUAUAAUAGAAGGUGAAUAUUUGUAUUAAGAAGUUGGUAUCUCUUUUCUCACAUUGCCAUUUAUCUCUAAAUUUUGUGGUAAUGCUUCUCUUGAAAAUGUUACAACAUAUAUUAGUUACAUGCAUAGUCACAGGUAAGAGUAGUGCCUAUUGCUUUCAUUCACUCCAAUCUUAUAGGUUCAAUUGCAGUCGCUCAUAUUCCAAUAGGAAAUUAUUAUUUUUCUUGAAAAUGUUUGUUUAGCCUGUGCCAUUAUAGUUUUCUUUGGAUGGUUGAAUUAUUUUCGUGUAUUACUCUAAAUUAUUCAAAUUGUUCAUUCUGUUAGUUUGAAGGUACUGAUUAUAAAUUUACACACAAAUUUAAUACUCUUGUUUCUUUUUGUGGUACUCAUGUACAUAUGGUAUGUAAGUUUUAAUUUAUAUUGGUUCAAUUUCUUUCCAUUUUACUAAUUCUUUCAGCUAAAAGUAAGUAGUUUCACGUUAUUUGCUCCAAAUUGGUUCUCUUGUGAAUUGAACUUUGGCACAUUUUUCUUUGAUGUCCGCAAAAAAUUUCUUCGUCAUUUUUUUAUUUAUAAUUUAUUCAUUUUUUUGUGUGGAAUUUCAUUGGAUAUGUAAUUGUUGUUGUUGUUUAUUGGUCUUUUUUUGUGCAUUUGAUUUCUCCAACAACAAACACUAUGACAAAUGAAAUCUAGAGGACUUGUAAAUAUUGAGAGAUUGUAUAGACUGCGUCUUUCCUUUCUUGUGUUAGUGAAAAUUACAACUGUUUACCAUCAUGGAGCCAGAUUGUUGAAUAUUCUAGCAUAAGAAUUUAUGAGAGACUAUAUAAAAUUCUGUUUUUUAUUUAUUAAUAAGGAAAAAAAAAUUAUCAAUUAGAAAAAGAUAGUAAGAUAUGUGGACUUUUAAUUUCUAUCAAUUCAUUGCUUGGGUACAAUAAUUCAUUCUAUUGUAAAGCACUAUAGUUGUUACAUAGUUCUCAUAUAUUUUUCUAAAGCACUUGGCCUACAAUAUACCACAGCUGGGAUAGUUGACGUACAAUUUAGCAUUUUGUGGUAGGUGUUUAUUCCAAUUUGAUUAUAUUUUGGGAAUUGUGUUGAUAAAUGUUGUGGGCAUACAUGAAUAGUCACCUGCAAAUUAUAAAAUGGAUACUCAUGUUGAGGGUGUGAAUAAUUUCCUUUGUCCUAAAGAUACAGAGGAUUGUUUUUUUUUUCUUUCAAAGGCAUCUCAAUGUUCAUGUAAUUCCAUUAUUGAUAUUUUCACUGUACUAUUUCAUUGAUUCACAUAUUAAAUUAUUGAUGUUAGCUUAUAUGAUUUAAUUUUUGUUCUUUUUAAAGAUAUGUUCCUUCAAGUACUAAACCAUUAAAAAGCCAUGUUGCUGUCUUUUACCUUACCAAAUAGAAGUUCUCCCUAUUUUAGGAGUGCUACUAAUUACUGGAAAGUAAUAUUAAGUAGUUUUAGGAGAGUUGUAGUUGUUUUGUUCAUGAGUCCGUUUUAGUAAUGUUGGAAUUUGAAGAUAUGUAUUUGGUAGCUGCAUCUGGUUCAUUAUUGUGUGUGAUUUUUCUUUUUUUCUAACUAUAGAUGAAUUCAAUAAUGUCUGUGAUUUUUUUUGCACUACGAUUUUACAAAUAUAAGCUUGUUGGUAGCUUUCCAUGCUUGUGAAACUCAUCAAUUAAGACAAUCAACCAGUUAAAAACAAAUCAGUUUGUAGAAAGUUUAGGUAAGACAACAUUUUCCUUCUUUUUGAUAGAUCAAUUAUUAUGGAGUUUUUUAAUUAUUUUUUCUUUUCUCUUAUGCUUACUGAUAAGCCUUGUCGACCUAUGCUUUUAUAUCAGGCUGAUGUAUGUGAUGCAUGUCAGCUAUUAAUAAAAGGUGGUCUCAAGGAUGAGAAUAUUAUUGUCUUUCAUAUAUGAUGGCAUUGCUUACAAGUUAUCAUUAAUAGUCCUACUGGUGAGGAUGUUUACAAAGGAGUUCCUAAGGCAGAUGUUUUUCGUCAUCGUUUAGUAUAUAACUAAACUGUUAACCUGUCUCAUGUGCUAUCUCUUGUGGAAGGAUUACACUAGAGAUG